UGCUGGAGUUAGUUUAAUUAAGAUAAAACUGAGCCGUAUAGGUUCAAGUUAUGGUGGAAUACCAUACCCCAGCAG
This 75-nucleotide transfer RNA is filed under the name Candidatus Psychracetigena formicireducens. RNAcentral's name for it is "tRNA-Ile". The record is from RNAcentral. Lineage: Bacteria; Bacillati; Candidatus Lithacetigenota.